Molecule: transfer RNA, 81 nt
Organism: Sphaerobolus stellatus SS14
Lineage: Eukaryota; Fungi; Basidiomycota; Agaricomycetes; Geastrales; Sphaerobolaceae
Rfam family: tRNA
About the family: Transfer RNA (tRNA) molecules are approximately 80 nucleotides in length.
Source: Rfam
GACCUCUUGGCUCAGUGGUAGAGCAUGUGAUUCCAGUUUGGAAGUUCCACAAGGUCGUCCGUUCAAUCCGGGCAGAGGUCA